UUUCCGUAGGUGAACCUGCGGAAGGAUCAUUACCGAGUUAGGGUGUCGCCUCGGCGCGCCCGACCUCCCAACCCUUUGUCGAACCAAACCACGUUGCCUCGGGGGGCGUCUCGUCGUCUUUCGCGGCGAGCACCCCCAGAGGACCAACCAACUCUGCGUCUUUGCGUCGGAGUAUUGAAAACAAAUCAAUCAAAACUUUCAACAACGGAUCUCUUGGUUCUGGCAUCGAUGAAGAACGCAGC
This 242-nucleotide unclassified non-coding RNA is filed under the name uncultured fungus. RNAcentral's name for it is "sequence contains ITS1, 5.8S rRNA gene". The stretch from base 194 to 242 matches the Rfam family "5.8S ribosomal RNA", at positions 1 to 49 of the family's 154-position model. Lineage: Eukaryota; Fungi. The record is from RNAcentral.